UCUUGAUUCUAUGGGUGGUGGUGCAUGGCCGUUCUUAGUUGGUGGAGUGAUCUGUCUGGUUAAUUUCGAUAACGAACGAGACCUUAGCCUGCUAACUAGGAUCGGGAACUUCUCGUUCCCGUAUCACUUCUUAGAGGGACUUUGCGUGUCUAACGCAAGGAAGCUUGAGGCAAUAACAGGUCUGUGAUGCCCUUAGAUGUUCUGGGCUGCACGCGCGCUACACUGAUGCACUCAACGAGUUCUUGACCUUGGCCGACAGGUCUGGGUAAGCUUCUGAGCAUGCAUCGUGAUGGGGCUAGAUUAUUGCAAUUAUUAAUCUUCAACGAGGAAUGCCUAGUAGGCGCAAGUCAGCAGCUUGCGCCGAUUGCGUCCCUGUCCCUUGUACACACCGCCCGUCGCUGCAACCGAUCGGAGGGUCCUGUGAA
RNAcentral lists this ribosomal RNA (425 nucleotides) under Isospora sp. Its description in RNAcentral is "SSU rRNA". It matches the Rfam family "Eukaryotic small subunit ribosomal RNA", at positions 1260 to 1705 of the family's 1831-position model. The record is from RNAcentral. Lineage: Eukaryota; Apicomplexa; Conoidasida; Eucoccidiorida; Eimeriidae.